This is a long non-coding RNA of Anopheles gambiae (African malaria mosquito), 1018 nucleotides long. RefSeq lists it as uncharacterized. Lineage: Eukaryota; Metazoa; Arthropoda; Insecta; Diptera; Culicidae. The record is from RefSeq and is a predicted model, not a curated record. The transcript has 2 exons.
CCAAGUGCUCUAACGCAAUCUUCCUAGCGCUUCGUCGCAGCACAAAGAGUACACGAAGCGUAAGAGAUUGGUGGCAACAAAAAAAAUCCGUCGAUAAGAACGGAAAAGGGCUCCAUCCAUCCAUCGUUGGCCUGACCCGUGCGAGAGGCCUAACGGUGGCAUGGCCUCCCUUUUUUUUCACUUCCAACUAGAACGAUCGCUGUCCAGUUCGAACCGGACCGAUCCAGAGUGUCGGCCUGAGGCACACACAUCACACCAUUCUGUGAUAACCGGUCGGACAGGGGAUCGGAUCGGGGUUGCGCUCCUCAUCCGGUGUGUUUAUGGUGAAAAGGUUACGUACUGGCCCGGCCGCACCACUAUCAUCAAUUGUUGUACACACGCGUUCUGAGCCGAUCGUGGCUCAUAAAAACCAGACUAGUAAACAAGUUGACUCUGGUUUGGAUUGCCCUCUGCGGCUCCCCUGCUCCCCGGCGGUAAUCCAGCAGAGAUUAUGCAACUCGAGUGUGUAACCGCAACGUGCACUAUUAGAUUCCGCUUCCAAAGUACAAUCGGAAACUGGAUUGGUGUGCAAUCCACGGGUACACACGCGCGCAGCCUUUAGCCGGCAAGAUCGAACCAGUUCAUCUCUAAUCUUCCUCGCUCAAAAACCUACCGAAGGACGACGCCGGGUCAGGAUCGUGCUAGCGCAUACUCGUGACUGCUGAUGGCGGGCGGCACUGUGGUGCCGAUCGGCUGCGGACGAUGCGCUGUUGACAGUGGCGGACACGUGGCGUACGUGAUGAUGGUCGGUCAGUUUCCCGCCAUCGGCAGCGAGCGCAGCGUGUCUAGUGGACGCGGCCGCAUGGAUGAACGACGAGGACGAGCUUUGCAGGCGCGUUUUUACCACCUCCAACGGACAUGUCACUACGGCGCCAGCAGUACCAGCGAUACUGGAAAAGGAAAGAAGUGAAAAAUAAAUAAAACAUUAGAAAUGUUAGUUUAAUAAAGAGCUAGAGCGCAUGUUUCGACAGUCUUAAAA